UUUUUCUUUUUUUUAUUUAGGUGUAUAAUAAAAUGAAGGACAAAUAAAAAAAAAAGAAAGAUGUAUUUCGUUCGAAAGUAGCUGCACCAAGAAUGUGAGUUGGAAUGAUUUACGAUUCUUUGCAAGUCAUAAAAACAUCAGCUAUAAGGGAUGGAAAGUUUUUGCGAAGAUUUGAAAGAAAAUUUACGAUGUGCUCUCAGGUUUCGAUAUAGUGGAACAGUACCUUUAAUUACGAGGUAAAAUGAUUGGUCUUGAUAGUUGACGCGAAUCUUUAAUAUAUCGAUGGCGAUAAAUUAGUAAAAUAUCGAUUGACUAUAAUUUCUUCAAGCUAUGGCAUCGUUUCGAAAUGAAAUUUGUAUCCUUGUGGAAAAGAAUUCGAUAUCUUAAUAACUCGUAACACUUGAGAAAUUAUUAGGUAUUUUGAUACGGAUAAUUACUAGUUAGUAAAUUAGUCUCGUAGAAUUUAGUGCUGUUAUUUAAAGCUUUAAUUUCAGCUUCUCCAUAAAAGUAAAAUAUACAAAAUCUAUUUACUCGUUUCGUGUAAAUAAGUAAGUGACCUCGAGACAGUUUGAACGAAAUUUCAUUUUAAUUAUGCUGAUUAAUUAUACGUAUGAUUCUGAAGAAUGUAUUUCUAUAAUGAUGUCCAAAUUUGGUGAAUAUAAGAAAAAAUUGAAUGAAGUUACUUUUGAUCUUACAGAUCGUAGAAUCUAUAAAUGAUCUGUCUAUUAAAUUAUCGAAAAAACUAUAUAAUUUUCGAUUAAUUGAGGGGUAUUCCUUUGGGAAAGAAAUGGUCGAUCACAGCAUGCAAUUUGUAACUGAUUCAGAGAAGAGACUCGAUAUUGAUGAACAAAUUAUGAUUAACGUCGUAAAAAAAGAGAUAGUUAAAAGUUUAAAAAAUGAACAAUGAAAAUUACUCACCUUCUUACGAUGCGGACAGCAAGAAGAUCCAUUGCCCAUGGUUCGAUCUUUCAAACAGCGAAAGAAUCAAUCCUUACACUAAUUCAUAACACUUCAACACAACGCUUCCAAAUUUUCUUCGCACAAUCAUUUCUUUUUUUCUUCAUCGUUGUUUCGAGAAAGUUGCAGGUUUAUUAUCGCGUUGGUAUUCGAGCCAACCGCUCCAUGAAUAGUCCAAUCGCCUUUGUUAACUAUCUCCUGAAUCUCGACAAGAUCACCUUCUCGUAAGUUUUAUAUCUGAUCUGACGAAAAAGGUAAUCAAUGAAUAUAUCAUACAAUUUUCCUCUUGCACACUUAUUUCUUCAUUUCUCAUUUUCUUUUAUAGGUUCCUUUAAAUUUUCCUCAUUUUCUCAUCAUACUGAUAUCCAGAUCAAUAGAAUGUGAAAGGUCUUGAUCUCGUAGAUGAAGUAAAGAAACGAGAAAAGACUAGCAAGUAACAGUACGGUGAAAUGACCGCAAGAAAUCGAAGAAGCCUUAGUAAUUGAGAGAAAUGGAUGAGCUGACAGUAAUGUUCCGAUAAUAUGGAUUACUGUGUCAACUGUGCAGCUCGUGGAAAUAUAAAGUUUCAUCGCGCAACAUCUUCCUGGAUGAAAUUAAUUAAAUCGAAAUCAUUCAAAUAUCCGAAGAAAGCAUUCGAUGAAGUCAAUGAUUCUUCUAUUCAAGAUCGAUGAUUCCUCUCUUCAGGAAGAUUAACGAGAUUCCAGAAACGAAGAAAUUCGUUUCGAAUCGAAUUGGUCACCGUUUAACUUUUGUUUUUUUCGAUUUUCUUCUUUUCUUCCGUUUUCUCGCUCGCUUUUUUUGAAAUUCGCGCGCAGAACAGAUCGGUAGCAAUUGAGCGAUAAGACUUCGGUUUUGACCUCUCGAUGCGGGAAUAUGGAAGCGCUAAUGAGUGUCAAGAGGUUGGCCAAGUCGAAAAUAGAAUCUGACGUGCUCCGUAAGAAUUUUUUUUAAUAUCGUCUCGACGGAUCGUCGACGUUGCGAUCCGAGCCAUUUCGAUCGUUUCAAUCGUUCCACUUUGCUAUAAAGUUUUUAACGAUAAGUUCACAAGAAUAGAAGAUAAUUUCACGAUCACUUAGAUUUUUGAUAAUACAAAGAAAAUUAACGAUAUUAAUAUAGAAAUAGAAAAAAAGAGGAUUGAUUUGACUAUAAAAUUUUGUAUUACGAUCUUCUCGAAAUUGGAGCUCUUUGAUGUUGCAAGUGAAUACAAUUCUGUUUAUUACUAAGAAAAUAUGCGCAUGAAGAUUCGAGUAUUUCAUAUAUUUAAACCUCGGAUGGCGGACCAUAGACGGCGAUGACUAAGUCAUUUCUAGCCGCCUCCUACAUUUAUCAUUACUUUAUUAAAUUAUACAUAUUUGAAGAAAAUUAUAGAAUCAUAUCAUUCAAAAGUUGCAUAUAUAAAAUAAAAGAAAUCAUAAACAAUUACAAAAAUAUAAAAUAUAGAAUAUCGAUAAUCGAAUUUUUAAUAUAAUUCUAUUUCCAAGAUGGAUUUUUCUUUUUCAUUCAGAGCUCUCUUCUCGAACGAUCCAAUUACAAAUCAACCGAGGGUUAAUUACCAUGUAAUUCAAACGAAAAGAAAAAUAAUUUCAUGUUAUACGUACAGCUAUACCGAACGAUUGCUCGACGUUUAUAUACGCGUUUCGCAACGAAAGGAUUAAAAAUCGACGUGGCUCGAUCGCGAGAGAGAAAGACUUGAUCACCGGUUCGGCGUGUUUCAAAAACUGCCAUCGAAUUUCGAGGAAAGUAACCGGGGUCCGCUCGCACGUGUUUACGCGUGCGCCAGCACACGGUACCAAUAUCCACGCGAGUCACCGCUUUAUUUUCCACCGUUACAUCACUGUCGUCAGCGUUUCACUGCCGCUUCACGAUAGUGCGCGCAGUUUAUCGAGCCUCGAGAAAACAAUGAUCCAUCGUGUCCAUCGUGAUUUGCCUUUCCGGUACCGUUCCUCUUCGUCAACCGUAACGUUCUCCACCUUCAUGCUCGAUUUUCUUUCCUUCUUUCUUUUUUGAAUUUUAAACUUAAUAUAUUCUGGAAUAUAAAUCGAUGGAUUUUAAUUUCUAAUUAACAAAACACGUCGAGUUGCUCUUUUGGGAAUUUAUCUUGCGAUUAAUCGAUGAAGAUGGAAUUCCUUCUUUCAGAAUUUUAAAACGGUAACACACUUGUAGAAUUUUAAAACGAUAACACACUUUGAAAGUGAAAAUUUUAAAUACACGAGGAAUUUUCAAUUUUUAUUUUCAAUAAGUCACGUCGAAUCGCUCUUCAGGAAUUUAACCACCGACGAUUAAAUCGACGAAUACGAAAUUCUUAAAGGUAUUCGAUAAUUAAACGAAGAAUUUCGCGCUCUUGAAAUGCCAAAGUAUGCAAGAACGAACGCGAGGAUCGCGAGGCACUCGACACAUAACUAGCAAACUCCGUGCACUUCAUUCUUGUGUAGCACGUGUUGAUCGUAAACAGUGACUUGCGUCAGCACACGAGUCCCGCGGAAACUUGUUUUGUCAAUGGACUGAUAGGUCGCGUGAAAACCAAUGUCGUCAAAGCUAAGGAUGGACGAGGAAUAAUCUGAACAAUUAAUAAACAAACCGAGUCAUCUUUCCACGAAAGAUUAAAAUAGACCGGUCGAAACAAAAAAAUGUAUCUCUUUACCUAUUUUUCGAGCCACUUUUCGCUAUUAUCGAAACGAUGUGAACGAAUAUCAUGAUGAAUCGAUGAAAUUUUCAUGCGACACUGUGACAUAAUGAAUCUCGUCUUCGUACUGAAGAGACUGAAUUUCACUCGAGCCACGAAUCGCUGACAUCAUUCCGUUCGUGUUGCAUUUUUAUCAUUUGAAUAUUAU
RNAcentral lists this long non-coding RNA (3788 nucleotides) under Apis dorsata (giant honeybee). Its description in RNAcentral is "uncharacterized LOC102672562, transcript variant X2". Lineage: Eukaryota; Metazoa; Arthropoda; Insecta; Hymenoptera; Apidae. The record is from RNAcentral.